CCCAGUGUGAUUCGUCACACUAUCAUUAACUGAAUCCAUAGGUUAAUGAGGCGAACCGGGGGAACUGAAACAUCUAAGUACCCCGAGGAAAAGAAAUCAACCGAGAUUCCCCCAGUAGCGGCGAGCGAACGGGGAGCAGCCCAGAGCCUGAAUCAGUGUGUGUGUUAGUGGAAGCGUCUGGAAAGGCGUGCGAUACAGGGUGACAGCCCCGUACACAAAAAUGCACAUACUGUGAGCUCGAUGAGUAGGGCGGGACACGUGGUAUCCUGUCUGAAUAUGGGGGGACCAUCCUCCAAGGCUAAAUACUCCUGACUGACCGAUAGUGAACCAGUACCGUGAGGGAAAGGCGAAAAGAACCCCGGCGAGGGGAGUGAAAAAGAACCUGAAACCGUGUACGUACAAGCAGUGGGAGCACGCUUAGGCGUGUGACUGCGUACCUUUUGUAUAAUGGGUCAGCGACUUAUAUUCUGUAGCAAGGUUAACCGAAUAGGGGAGCCGAAGGGAAACCGAGUCUUAACUGGGCGUUAAGUUGCAGGGUAUAGACCCGAAACCCGGUGAUCUAGCCAUGGGCAGGUUGAAGGUUGGGUAACACUAACUGGAGGACCGAACCGACUAAUGUUGAAAAAUUAGCGGAUGACUUGUGGCUGGGGGUGAAAGGCCAAUCAAACCGGGAGAUAGCUGGUUCUCCCCGAAAGCUAUUUAGGUAGCGCCUCGUGAAUUCAUCUCCGGGGGUAGAGCACUGUUUCGGCAAGGGGGUCAUCCCGACUUACCAACCCGAUGCAAACUGCGAAUACCGGAGAAUGUUAUCACGGGAGACACACGGCGGGUGCUAACGUCCGUCGUGAAGAGGGAAACAACCCAGACCGCCAGCUAAGGUCCCAAAGUCAUGGUUAAGUGGGAAACGAUGUGGGAAGGCCCAGACAGCCAGGAUGUUGGCUUAGAAGCAGCCAUCAUUUAAAGAAAGCGUAAUAGCUCACUGGUCGAGUCGGCCUGCGCGGAAGAUGUAACGGGGCUAAACCAUGCACCGAAGCUGCGGCAGCGACGCUUAUGCGUUGUUGGGUAGGGGAGCGUUCUGUAAGCCUGUGAAGGUGUACUGUGAGGUAUGCUGGAGGUAUCAGAAGUGCGAAUGCUGACAUAAGUAACGAUAAAGCGGGUGAAAAGCCCGCUCGCCGGAAGACCAAGGGUUCCUGUCCAACGUUAAUCGGGGCAGGGUGAGUCGACCCCUAAGGCGAGGCCGAAAGGCGUAGUCGAUGGGAAACAGGUUAAUAUUCCUGUACUUGGUGUUACUGCGAAGGGGGGACGGAGAAGGCUAUGUUGGCCGGGCGACGGUUGUCCCGGUUUAAGCGUGUAGGCUGGUUUUCCAGGCAAAUCCGGAAAAUCAAGGCCGAGGCGUGAUGACGAGGCACUACGGUGCUGAAGCAACAAAUGCCCUGCUUCCAGGAAAAGCCUCUAAGCAUCAGGUAACAUCAAAUCGUACCCCAAACCGACACAGGUGGUCAGGUAGAGAAUACCAAGGCGCUUGAGAGAACUCGGGUGAAGGAACUAGGCAAAAUGGUGCCGUAACUUCGGGAGAAGGCACGCUGAUACGUAGGUGAAGCGACUUGCUCGUGGAGCUGAAAUCAGUCGAAGAUACCAGCUGGCUGCAACUGUUUAUUAAAAACACAGCACUGUGCAAACACGAAAGUGGACGUAUACGGUGUGACGCCUGCCCGGUGCCGGAAGGUUAAUUGAUGGGGUUAGCGCAAGCGAAGCUCUUGAUCGAAGCCCCGGUAAACGGCGGCCGUAACUAUAACGGUCCUAAGGUAGCGAAAUUCCUUGUCGGGUAAGUUCCGACCUGCACGAAUGGCGUAAUGAUGGCCAGGCUGUCUCCACCCGAGACUCAGUGAAAUUGAACUCGCUGUGAAGAUGCAGUGUACCCGCGGCAAGACGGAAAGACCCCGUGAACCUUUACUAUAGCUUGACACUGAACAUUGAGCCUUGAUGUGUAGGAUAGGUGGGAGGCUUUGAAGUGUGGACGCCAGUCUGCAUGGAGCCGACCUUGAAAUACCACCCUUUAAUGUUUGAUGUUCUAACGUGGACCCGUGAUCCGGGUUGCGGACAGUGUCUGGUGGGUAGUUUGACUGGGGCGGUCUCCUCCUAAAGAGUAACGGAGGAGCACGAAGGUUGGCUAAUCCUGGUCGGACAUCAGGAGGUUAGUGCAAUGGCAUAAGCCAGCUUGACUGCGAGCGUGACGGCGCGAGCAGGUGCGAAAGCAGGUCAUAGUGAUCCGGUGGUUCUGAAUGGAAGGGCCAUCGCUCAACGGAUAAAAGGUACUCCGGGGAUAACAGGCUGAUACCGCCCAAGAGUUCAUAUCGACGGCGGUGUUUGGCACCUCGAUGUCGGCUCAUCACAUCCUGGGGCUGAAGUAGGUCCCAAGGGUAUGGCUGUUCGCCAUUUAAAGUGGUACGCGAGCUGGGUUUAGAACGUCGUGAGACAGUUCGGUCCCUAUCUGCCGUGGGCGCUGGAGAACUGAGGGGGGCUGCUCCUAGUACGAGAGGACCGGAGUGGACGCAUCACUGGUGUUCGGGUUGUCAUGCCAAUGGCACUGCCCGGUAGCUAAAUGCGGAAGAGAUAAGUGCUGAAAGCAUCUAAGCACGAAACUUGCCCCGAGAUGAGUUCUCCCUGACCCUUUAAGGGUCCUGAAGGAACGUUGAAGACGACGACGUUGAUAGGCCGGGUGUGUAAGCGCAGCGAUGCGUUGAGCUAACCGGUACUAAUGAACCGUGAGG
This 2768-nucleotide ribosomal RNA is filed under the name Shigella flexneri. Its description in RNAcentral is "partial 23S ribosomal RNA". It matches the Rfam family "Bacterial large subunit ribosomal RNA". The record is from RNAcentral. Lineage: Bacteria; Pseudomonadati; Pseudomonadota; Gammaproteobacteria; Enterobacterales; Enterobacteriaceae.